RNAcentral lists this long non-coding RNA (7831 nucleotides) under Sus scrofa (pig). RNAcentral's name for it is "lncRNA (ENSSSCG00050006228.1)". The record is from RNAcentral. Lineage: Eukaryota; Metazoa; Chordata; Mammalia; Artiodactyla; Suidae.
UCAGCUUGCAGGCUUUCUCACUGAUCAUCCCUUUGUCCCUCCAGAUGCUCUCCUCACCCUUUUCCAUCCUGUGCCAUGUCCUGUGGAGAAAGGCCUCUGCCACCAAUCCUGCAGGGACCAUUGCCCUUGACCUCUGGCUGCCUUUUGGUGCUGGCCAAUGGGGCGCCCAGGAGAGAUCAAAGGGCAGGAGGAGAGGGAAGGCUGAGUUAAUUCCCCCACUCCCUCCCUUCCCUGCAAAGUAAUCCAGGCUGGCUGUGACCCUGGGAGGAAGGUUUAGCCUUUUCCACCAGUCCUCUCCUUUCAUUGUUGUUUUUUUUUGUUUUUUUUUUUUGUUUGUUUGUUUUUUUGUUUUUUUGCUUUUUAGGGCCACACCUGUGGCAAAUGGAAAUUCCCAGGCUAGGCAUCUAAUCAGAGCUAAGGCUGCCGGCCUACACCAGAGCCACAGCAACGCAGGAUUCAAGCCGCGUCUGCGACAUACACCACAGCUCAGGGCAACACCAGAUCCUUAACCCACUGAUGCGCGGCCAGGAAUCGAACCGGAAACCUCAUGGUUCCUAGUCAGAUUCGUUUCCACUGCGCCACGACAGGAACUCCCAGUCCUCUCCUUCUGGAUUCCACCUGGUGCCUGGUUUCCCCCCAGCUCUGGCCCUACAGCUCCCCUUCCUGAGGACCCCAGUUUCAGGUCAUUCGACACUGUCCAGCCCUCUGGCCUGACGAAACCCCAACAAAGCAGACCUGGAAGCUGAGGAGACAAAGGUGAGUGGGCAGACCUUGUCUGCAGACAGAGAUCUCUAGAGAAAACCUUUUCUCCUUGGUCCCUUGGAGCUCAGCUGAGGAAAGCCUUUAGGAGAAAGCAGAAACCAAGGAGGCCAUUUGGUGGUGGGGAGGGCGGGGCAUCCGAGGUACCCCCUUCGCUGAUGCCCUGCCGUUCCUGGACUUCUUAGAGAGCAUUAAGGACAAAACCAGCUUGGCCUGUUAACAACAAGCAGGUGCUUCAGCACCACACACCUGCCCCAGUGCCCAGAUGUGCAUGACCCAUGGGGCUGGAUGGUGCAGAGGAGAGUAAGACAGGCUAGCACCCCCCCUCCAAUACACACACACACACACACACACACACACACACACACACACACACACACACACGGGCUUCCGGGAAAGGGGUCACCACAAGCACACAGACCACAGCAGCCUCAGGUGGUAUCAGCUGAGGGCUUGAUAGAGGCUGGGCCUGGAGCAGCCAGUGGGGGGUGGUGAGACUUGUCCGGAGAGGCUCUGGCAAAUGCACAGUGUUUACAUCUGUCUGCUUUCCUCCUGGUAGUUCCUGAUAAGCUCCCCAGGAACCACACACACACACACAUUUAUGGCCAUGCUGUGUGCACUGCCUCAGGGACAGGAUGUGACAACAGAAAGAGGAGAAAAUGUCUAAAAAGAAAGUCUUCCUGACCUCUGCAGUCCCAAAUUCCAACUCCUCAGAGAAAAGGAAGACAAGAAACAGACUUUGGGGGGGUUGUUUGGGGAAGACCAGCGAGGCUUGUCAGAGGCUCUGGGCUUGGGAGCAGAGCCGGGGCAGGGGGGUGUUAUGAGAUGUACAUAGACAUUGGUGGGACCCUGAGAAAGGGCCUUGACCCAGUUCUCUGGGACGAGCCCAGAGGAGGUGGCAAGGGUCCAGUGAGGAAGGGCCAAGGGGGCUGUCAGGCAGGUGGGCCUGUGCACCCCUGCAGGCAGCAAAAGUCCUGUGCCUGUGCCCUCUGUACUGCAGGGCUGUGCGAAGAGGGCGCAGCCCUGGUGGGGCCUUUUGGAUAAGAUGUGACGGACUGGGAAUGCCGGCGAUUGCCAGAUGGACAGCAGGCCUGGAGGAUCAAAUGAGCUCUGGCUUCCUCCAGUGUCCCAAGUAAGCCCACCUAGACUCAGGACCAGCCCAGGAAACUCUAGGGGACAAGGGGACAUGCUAGACUCCGAAUUGACAGGAUUAGGUGCCUGCCACCUCAGGGGAAUGGGGGCUGAAAUGUAGAAAGGAGGAUGAAUACAAAAAUCAAUCCUUGAACACCUGUAUAUUAUAGAAAUUCUAAGCUGCUGUGAGAGAGAAAACCCAGGCUCUAUAAGGGCAACCCAUGUAUAAUAAAAGGCUGCAGACAAAGAUCAACAAUAAACUGGGGGAAAUUGUAACCCAUUCAUAGCAAAAUUACUAAUUCCUUUCAUACGUGAAGAACUCCUAUAAAUCAGUAACACAGAGAUGGACCAUCGAUAGAUAGUUCAUAAAAACCAUAAAUAGGCAGUUUACAGAAAAAGAAAUACAAAUGACCUCAACAUUUGAAACAUAUUCCUAAACCGCAAUUAGAGAAAUGCAAAUUAAGAUUACAGUGAGAUCAUUUUUCACCUAUCAGAUAGGAGAUUUAUGAGCUUGACAAAGCCUGGUGCUGGUGAGAGCACAGGGAACCAGCUUCUCUCCAUGACUGUUGUCGGGAAGGUAGUUGGCACAGUCAUCGUGAGUGCAAGCUGGCAAUAUCUGUCAUGAUUAAAGUGCACCUUUUGUUUGGGCCUGCAGUUACCUUGUGGGUACAUCUCCACACGUCCACAAGGAUGUUUGUUCAAGGCUGUUCACAAUAGCAUUGUUUGUAGUGGCAAAGAAGUGGCAACAACCCAAAUGUCUACUUAUAGGAGACUAGAUACGUUAAUAUAUAAUUAUACAUCAAUGAAAUACUAAAAGGCCAAAAUGAAAAAGAUCUGCGUAUGUUGCUUUGGAAAGAUCUUGGCACUACAUUGUUAAUUUUUUAAGAAGCCAGGUGCAGAAGAGUAUGUAUAGUUGUCUUUCAUUUGCAUUUAAAAAAAGAAUCGAUGUGCGAAUAUAUGCAUGUUUAUGCCUGGACAUUUCUAAAGAGGCACCGAGGUUAAAUGAAUAUCCGUAUAUUCUCAUGGGAUAAUUUUGUACUGUUGAGUGGUGCAGCAUCUGUGGAGGUUUUAUUUUUAUAACAGCAUCAUGAGGCAAAUGGAGCAGGCAGGAGAGAAGGAGUAGUGGGAGGGAGGGCGAGCAAGCACUUCUGUGGGCUGAGGGCUGAGUGGGCGGCAGGUUUGUGCAUAGGGAAUUAACAUUUUCCACGUAGACAGCCACAGACUUCAGGGACAGGGGAUGAGUCACACCUAUGACAAAAGUCCAUGACCUUCCAAAGACUGGCAUUGCUGUUGUGCUCCAGAACAGUUUAUCCUUUAGAAAGGAGCCCUGGAGAGGCUCCAGGCAGGCCUGGGCAGGACUGAUAAGGAUCUUAGCAGAAUCUACCCUAAACUCAAAGGUGAGCUCAGGAGUUCCCGUGGAGGCUCAGUGGUUAACGAACCCGACUAGUAACCAUGAGGUUGCGGGUUCAAUCCCUGGCCUCGCUCAGUGGGUUAGGGAUCCAGUGUUACUGUGAGUUGUGGUGUAGGUCACAGACGUGGCUCAGAUCCCACGUUGCUGUGGCUGUGGUGUAAGCCAGGAUCUGUAGCUCCAUUUCGACCUCCAUAUGCCACAGGUGUGGCCCUAAAAAGACCAAAGGACCCCCCCCCCAAAAAAGUGAGCUCAGCAAAGAGUCUUAGGGAGUCAUUUUAGAUGCUUACUGUGAAGAAGGCAAAUACUUGCACAAAACAGAAGAAAUCCGAAGCCUAGUAAUAGAUGAGCAGUGAGGGAAUUAGAAACAUAAAUUCAAGCAAAGUCAAUUCAAUUCAAACAGGGAGAUCUCACUUUCCACCCAUCAAAUUUAGUAAAAAAUGUUAAGGAUUGCUACUAUUCAGUGUUGAUAGAGUAAUGGAAAAACAGGCACUAUCAAGCACCAUUGGGGAGAGUGAAAAUCACCCUAUGUUUUUUUGGAGAAAAAAUUAGGCAGGAACAACAUGUUAAAUGUUGAUUCACCCCGAUCCAGAAACCCUACUUUUGGGAACCUGCCCUCUGCCAUUCUCAUACAAGGCAUAUACUGCCAUGUCCAGCACUGCUGGGCAACGUGAGAUCCUGGAAGAGGGGCGGCGCAGCAUAAUAAAACACACAAGACUCUCUUACAUCUAGAAAGUGGGGGACCAGGAGGCACUCUGUUCUGCAGAACAACGGCGCCUAGGCCUUAGCCCACAUGACUUUCAUUAGGGAAGGUGACAUAGAUUCAUGAGCAAAAUCAGGUGCAGGUAAUGAUGGAGCUAUCUCUUAGUGGUUGUGCUUUUGCAGGUGCACCAAAUUUGCUUACUGCAUCAUUCAGCAGUUUCAAUGGUCUCAACAAUAUACAAGGAUGUUCAGCACCCUAUGGUUUAGCUAGCAAACUGGUAGAAACAGCAUCAAUGGCUAUCAAUCAGAGACUGGAUAAAGAGCUUCUCGUAAAGCCACACCACGGGAUCCUUAAAAUUGACAUACACUGGCAAGUGAAAGUUAAAAAGUCAAGAGCAUGGCAUAUAUAGUAUAAUAUAUGUAUAUGAAGUCCCUCCCAAAUCCUAAGACUACAUCAUACGCAGAAACAGGUCUGGAAGGAUGUACACACACCAUACACAGAGUGAUUACCUCUGGGGAGAAAAGGGGAAUUGGAAGGGGGUGACAAAGAGGGACUAUAAACUGUACCACAUACAUUUCUGUGUUUUUGGGUUUUUAUUUAUUAUUUAUUUAUAGAUAAUGAGCCUGCAUGAAUGUAUUACUUAGCUGCAGUAUGCACGGCCAUGGCUAGUAUAGACCCUGGCUUAAUAGCUACUAGCUGUGUAAGAGGCACAAAACUAAAUCUUAAUGAGCCUCACUUUUUUUUCCAUAGAAAAAUAGGGCUCAUACUGUCUUGUUAUAAGGAUUAAACUCAUAGAAGCAAAACGCUUGGAACAGAGCCCAACCCAUGGGAAGUGUUCCAAUUAUAACUACUUGUGUAAUUAAACAUACUCUUUGUUUCACAAGUAGGAUGUGCCUGCUUGGAUGGAGAAUUCCACAGCCAGGAGGCCAAACACACCUGAUCAAGGGCUUGAGAAGGGAGGGAGAUACUCGCUAUAUAUGUUAGUGUCAAAAGGAGAUUAACAUCUCCUGGAGGGUGGGAAGCAGGCUAGGCAGACACAGAAGUUCUGCUCCCUGAACAGCAUCAGGCUGGUAUGGAAAGUUCUUUCUGUGGGACAUUAUCCUGGCAUGAUGCACUUUGAGGUGACCAGUGUCACUGUCCAAAGAGGGGGAGCCCAUCUGGUCCAUGAUAUGAACUCUUCUAGGGAGAUACUGAGGAGCAGAUGACUUUGGAGGAUGGACAUUUGUGUAUAGGAUGGCCCUGCAGGUUCUGGCCAAGAGACACUGGUACUCAAAGACAGGAGCUGCUGGAGCAAAGUCAGCUGGGCUUUAGACCAGGAAUCACUUGUGUAGACCUUGUGCUUUGGAGGCCCAUGCAGACUGCUGUGUUUCCAUCAGCAACAGAUUUCACUGAUAACUUUAAGGACAUUUAAAAUGUUUUGCCAAUUGAUGAUAUUUUCCUUACACUAGGAUGACUUUUUUUUUUUCCCCCUUCACAAACAGCAUGGAAAGGAAAUUCUUUAGAAGAGGUGAUCAACCCUUCUUGGAAUGAGGCUCUUAAAAUGUAUGCAGAGUUGGCAUCAGAAGAUAGACUAGAAUGAUCCAUGUGGUGCUGGUUUGGAGGUGGAGGCAUCAGAGGACUCAUGUUUAACUUACUAUAGACACAGUUACAUACAUAAAUAGUUAUAGAUGUGUAUCUGUACAGGCAGGUUAGUAAACAUAUGUUUGUCUUUGUCACCAGAGAAAUGACACUUUAGUAGCAAGGAGCACACCAAGCACCCAGAUUUUGGUUUCUACAACCAUUCUCCAAUAACAGGAACCAGGGCUCCUUGGAGUAUGGUCAGAUUCUAGGACUGAGGUGGGAAAUAUACAAGAUGAACCUGGAGCAUCUUAUAGUCCCAGAAAGUAAGGAAGUGCUCACAAAAUAAACAUAUCCAUAGGGGCAUGUCAAAGGGGCACAGCCAACUGAAAGAGCCCCCAGGGGCUCAGCUGGAGAUUUUUGAGCAGUACAAUAAAUAAAGUAGAAUUGGAUUAAGUCCCAAAUUCUAAAACAAGUCCAUAUUGAUACAAAUAAAUAAUUGAAUAAAUUUAUAAGUGGAGAAGAGAUAAUAUACUAUGCAGAACAAUUUAAAAACAGAAAUGUGUGCAAAGUCCACAAAUGUUCAGGUCAAUGUCUAGGCAGUUUUCAGGGUAAAAAAUAUAUAUAUACCUAGAUUUAUAUUCAUGUUACUUAUCUAUAAAGUAUUUUGCUGAGAAGACCUUCAAAAAUCUCAGGGAGGUGCCAUUUUUACAGCAUUUACAUUUGCAAAUAUAUAUACAUUUACAAAUGUAAAUGCUGUAAAAAUAUAUGUAUAUAUACAUAUAUACGCUGUAACACCUCAAUCCUGGCAAAGCUGCAAGAAACUUUAGCACAUGCAUCCAUUGCUCUGAGCAGUGUAAGUUCAUCCAUGCCUUUUGAACAGCACCUUGGCAAUAUCUAUCGAGAACUAGAAAAACAUUCAUACCCUUGAACAUGGUUUUGAACACUGUAGUGUCUUUCUUUUCUGAGAGUUAAUCACAAGGAAAAUAAGUCCAAGAGAAGAGACAGCAAGGAAAGCAAAUAGCAUUUUGCUUUUAUCUUAUUGAAAUGAGCAAAACUGGAAACUAUCUAAAUGUCCCACAGAAGGUUACAAAAUGAUACCGUCUCUUGGUGGAAUAGUAUUUAAUUACUGCAAAGGAUGAUAUGAGGACUAACAUGGAAAAUGCUUAUGAGCACUUAUGAGAAAGAAGUACAAAGCAAAACAUGUAACUCUACCACUGUAAUUAUGACUUUAUAAAAGUAUGCACACAUACUUUUAUGGGGGCUGGAGGCCUGGAGAGCUGAGUGGUUGUAUCCCUGGCACCUGGACCCUCUCCCAUUCGCAUCACACAGCCAGUUUUUCCUUCUUCCUCCAGUGUCUGACAGCAGCCAGCUGAAUUCAUCACCCAGUGAACUCCCAGGUAUAGAGAGGAUGCUCAACACGUAUUUUGGGAAGAAAUGUUUGUUACUGUUGCUAUGAUGUUCUCCAGUACCACUUAAAAAAGCCUCCUAAAUAUUUACUGGGGAACCUGGAUUCAGACUUGAGCAGUGCCUGUCAAUGCCCCAGCCCCACAGAGGCCCAACCAAAACCUCCCACGGCUCACACAUCCUAUUCAAAGUUUCCAUUGCUAUCACUCAGCCACCUACUGGCUCUCUCAAAUAAGAGUGCAAGAAAGCCCCUGCAGGCCUCCGGAUGAAGCAGAGGAUUUUAAAAGGUCAAGCCCUUUAGAAAAGAGCUGCUUAAAACACCAAAGGAUUUUCCUGGGAGAUGCUUGGAUCUCAGGCACUGCACACCUGGGCUAGUUACUGUCUGUCUGGGGAAAGGGUCGGGGCUAAAGACCUGGACAGUUUGGUGGGAAAUGGGAGCAUGGCUGUAGCAGCCCCUUGCUUCCAUUGCCACUGAAGUGCUGCUCUGGAUGGUUCCCCUCUUCCCCUCAUCCCGGAGCAACUACUUGGCAUGCAGGCCCCAGAUGUAAACGUUUCAGGAGCUCCAUGAAAAAGAGUAAAGGAGGAGUUCCCUUGGGGCUCAGUGGUUAAUGUACACAACUAGGACCCAUAAUGAUGCAGGUUCCAUUACCUGGCCUCCUUCGGUGGGUUAAGGAUCCAGCAUUGCUGGUAGAAGAUGAUUGUUGGUAGAAGAUGCGACUCAGAUCCCACAUGGCUGUGGCUGUGGCUGUGCCUGGCAGCUGUAGCUCUGAUUUGUCCCCUAACCUGGGAACUUCCACAUGCCACAGUUGCAGCAACAUAGGAGCUCCUUAUGACAUGGAGUAGGCCAAAAAAAAAAAAAAAAAAAA